UACGGAGGAUGCGAGCGUUAUCCGGAUUUAUUGGGUUUAAAGGGUGCGUAGGCUGUUAUAUAAGUCAGUGGUGAAAUAUUCGGGCUCAACCGGGAUACUGCCAUUGAUACUGUAUAGCUGGAAUAUGGUUGCUGUGGGUGGAAUGUGUGGUGUAGCGGUGAAAUGCAUAGAUAUCACACAGAAUAUCGAUUGCGAAGGCAACUCACAAAGCCAUUAUUGACGCUGAUGCACGAAAGUGUGGGGAUCAAACAGG
RNAcentral lists this ribosomal RNA (253 nucleotides) under uncultured bacterium. RNAcentral's name for it is "partial 16S ribosomal RNA". It matches the Rfam family "Bacterial small subunit ribosomal RNA", at positions 524 to 776 of the family's 1533-position model. The record is from RNAcentral. RNAcentral also lists the same sequence under 1 other name.